Molecule: long non-coding RNA, 1221 nt
Organism: Marmota monax (woodchuck)
Lineage: Eukaryota; Metazoa; Chordata; Mammalia; Rodentia; Sciuridae
Exons: 3
Source: RefSeq, a predicted model, not a curated record
UUUCUUUAAUUUCUUUCCUUUUUUUUUUUCUUUUUUUCUUUUUUUGGUAGUUCUGGGAAUCCAACUCAAGGCCUGGAACCUGUUAGGCAAGAGCUCUACCACUGAGGUACAACUCCAGUGCCAGCCCCCUACUUCUUGGGCUCUUGCUCACCCUCUCUGACACACCCUUGUUCAAGGUCAAAGUGUAAAACCGUGGCAGAAUGGGGAGUAGAACCAGCAUUUCUGAUCUUACUCUCAAGGCUCUUUUAACUACCUUAUUUGGUAGUUAAAAUAAACACUCAUUAACUUUUUUCUUUCUUUCCUUUUUUUCCUGAAGAAACAUGUCUAAACUCUAGGGCUCAAGGAAUCCUCCUGCUUCAACGCCCCCCAGGUAGCUGGGAAUAUCAACUGGCUCCACUGCACCCAGCUCUAACACUCAUUAACUUCAAUGUUCUUUUUUCUGGAUAAGACCAGGCCAAAGUCAGCUAGUUUGCAUAAAACUAAAUGGAAUAGAAUGUCCAGAAGUAGAAAUUUUGCUACUAGUUAUACAACCUCACAUAUAACUCUCACCAUUUUUUUUUUUUUUUGUACUGGAUAGAACCCAGGGUACUUUACCACUGGGCUACAUCCACAGUCCUUUUUUUUAUCUAUUUUGAGACAGGGUCUUGCUAAGUUGCUUAGGGACUUGCAAAGUUGCUAAGGCUGGCUUUGAACUCUGGAUCCUCCCUCAGCCUCCUAAACUGCUAGGAUUACAGGCAUGUGCCACCACACUUGGUGCCAUCCCCUUCUUUUUUUUUUUUUUUUUUGGUACUGAGGAUUAAACUCAGGGGCACUCGACCACUGAGCCACAUCCCCAGCCCUUUUUCAUAUUUUAUUCAAAGAUAGGGUCUCACUGAGUUGCUUAGUGCCUUGCUGUUGCUGAGGCUGACUUUGAACUCAAGAUCCUCCUGCCUCAGCCUCCAGAGCCACUGGGAUUACAGGAUUGAACCAAGGGCCUCGCACAUGCUAGGCAAGCAGCUCUACCGCUGAGCCACAGCCAUAGCCCCUGGAUAGAUCGAACCCAUAGCCCUGCACAUGCCAGGCAAGCGUGCUACCUCUUGAGCCAUAUCCCCAGCCCAACAGUAAGUAGUUCUUAACUCUGGUCACAUAUUGGGAAAACCUAGGAUGCUUUUUGAAAAUACCAACACCCAGGCCCCAAUCUUGGAGAUUUUUUUUAUUGUACUAGGGAUUGAACUUAGGAGG